GAAAAACUUGACCAACAGUUAUUUUUUUGUCAUUUUUGUUGAAUAGUGAAAUAGUCAAUGGUAAAUCACUUUGUUUUAUGGUAUGUAAUUUCAGUCUAAUAGAAUGUAAUCUAUCCUUUGACCAAAAAAAAAGAAAAGAAAAGAAUGUAAUCUAUCCCCUCACUUUGUUCUAUGGUAUGUCAUUUCAUUCUAAUAGAAUAUAAUCUAUCCUUUGACCAAAAAAAAAAAAAAAUGUAAUCUAUCCCCUCACUUUGUUCUAUGGUAUGUCAUUUCAUUCUAAUAGAAUGUAAUCUAUCCCCCUCUUUACCACUGAAAUAGUCUAAUGAUUAAAAUUGGGAAAGCUUUUUUAAGGUGUUAAGCCCUUCCCCUUUUGUUAGUUCACAGAUUUUUUUUCUAC
RNAcentral lists this long non-coding RNA (397 nucleotides) under Capsella rubella. Its description in RNAcentral is "long non-coding RNA (CRUB_LNC001494)". The record is from RNAcentral. Lineage: Eukaryota; Viridiplantae; Streptophyta; Magnoliopsida; Brassicales; Brassicaceae.